UCCCUGGUAGUAUAUCGGUUAGUACACGCGCCUGUCAUAAUUGAGGCAAAUCUAAUGCGCGCGAAAGCUGGGUUCGACUCCCAGCCAGGGAG
This is a non-coding RNA of Marasmius tenuissimus, 92 nucleotides long. The record is from the annotation of a GenBank genome assembly. NCBI's taxonomy places the organism in Eukaryota, Fungi, Basidiomycota, Agaricomycetes, Agaricales, Marasmiaceae.